AUAGCUUAGUUGGUCAAGUACUUGCCAUAAAAACAGGAAAAUCUGGGUUCAAAUCCCAGU
RNAcentral lists this transfer RNA (60 nucleotides) under Rattus norvegicus (Norway rat). It matches the Rfam family "tRNA", at positions 7 to 64 of the family's 71-position model. From Rfam's summary of the family: Transfer RNA (tRNA) molecules are approximately 80 nucleotides in length. Their secondary structure includes four short double-helical elements and three loops (D, anti-codon, and T loops). Lineage: Eukaryota; Metazoa; Chordata; Mammalia; Rodentia; Muridae. The record is from Rfam by way of RNAcentral.